Molecule: non-coding RNA, 422 nt
Organism: Vicia faba (fava bean)
Lineage: Eukaryota; Viridiplantae; Streptophyta; Magnoliopsida; Fabales; Fabaceae
Source: the annotation of a GenBank genome assembly
AGAGAACUCCCAUAAUCUCAUUUUCCCUUUUCCCUCUCAUUUUCUAUUCUCUAUAUUCUCCCAACUCUCUCACACUUUUCUCUCAAUAUCAUAACAACACCAACACAAAAGAAAAAGAAAAUAAAACUCCUCCUCCUUCAAGAAGCAACGACCGGUCAUCACCUCUAUCCGCCACCACUGCAUCGCUAUGUUGGUUCCUUCUGGAAGUCUUCCUCUCCACUCUUCGGCGCGAUAGCGCCCUUCCCCCCGGCUCUGCUCCUCGCGAUUUCCCUCUGUCAACCCGCUCCCUCUGUUGUGCAAGUUGCUCUUCUGUUGUGUUUCUCUCUUCGUCGCGGCUGCAUAUCUCCGAUGAACUUCACUUCUCCGACGAUCUCCUUAUCAUUUCUUCCAAUUUGAUUUUGGAAUUACCAAAGAGAUUCUGA